RNAcentral lists this long non-coding RNA (706 nucleotides) under Citrus sinensis (sweet orange). RNAcentral's name for it is "long non-coding RNA (CSIN_LNC000934)". The record is from RNAcentral. Lineage: Eukaryota; Viridiplantae; Streptophyta; Magnoliopsida; Sapindales; Rutaceae.
AAUACUUGAAUAUUGAUGGGUAAAAAAAUACAACAACCAAACAGGAAAACCAAAUUAAUGAUAAAUAAACUGCAUAAUGCUAACCUCCAAAGUCACAGCAAAUUCAUCAAGCAAAACAAAAAGUCAUCUUUCCAAUACUAAUAAACCAGAAAUACAUCAGCCAAAUGGUUGAUUGCGAAUUUAAUACAAAGGAUACUGGCUUUAAUGUGGUAAUUUACAAAAAAAAAAAAAAAUAUCACAGCAGUUUGCUAUGCAUGUCCGCUUUCUUCAACCCAAAUUCCCUAGCUUUACUAAGUUGCUCAGCAUCCACUCUCAAUCUUUGAAAAGCGAUACUCGAUAUCCCUUGCUGUGUUUGCCACCUCAGUGAGUCCAAUUUUGUCUUUUGCUUCUCAAUCCCCUUAGAAAUCUCAGCCAUCUCGUCAUAACGCCGGAAGUGUGAGGGAGAGAGAAGCUGGUGAGGCAAGCCGGAAGCGUGAGGGAGCUUCUGGAAGCGUGAGGGAGAGAGAAGCUGGUGAGGCACGCCGGAAGCCGUGAGGGAGAGAGGAAAGUGAGGACUGGAGAUAACUUGAUAAGAUUUCCCUCUGCACUAAGCGAUAAAUGAGUCUUUCUUUAUUCAUUUUUUAUUCAUUCUUUUCUUAUUUUAAUGUCUUUCUUUAUUCAUUUUUUAUUCAUUUUUUUCUUAUUUUAAUGUUUUAUGUAGUGAGAG